RNAcentral lists this ribosomal RNA (799 nucleotides) under uncultured Glomeromycotina. Its description in RNAcentral is "SSU rRNA". It matches the Rfam family "Eukaryotic small subunit ribosomal RNA", at positions 314 to 1114 of the family's 1831-position model. Lineage: Eukaryota; Fungi; Glomeromycota. The record is from RNAcentral.
AUCAACUUUCGAUGGUAGGAUAGAGGCCUACCAUGGUGGUAACGGGUAACGGGGUGUUAGGGCACGACACCGGAGAGGGAGCCUGAGAAACGGCUACCACAUCCAAGGAUGGCAGCAGGCGCGCAAAUUACCCAAUCCCGACACGGGGAGGUAGUGACAAUAAAUAACAAUACGGGAUUCUAAAGGAUUUCGUAAUUGGAAUGAGUACAAUUUAAAUCUCUUAACGAUCAACAAUUGGAGGGCAAGUCUGGUGCCAGCAGCCGCGGUAAUUCCAGCUCCAAUAGCGUAUAUUAAAGUUGUUGCAGUUAAAAAGCUCGUAGUUGAAUUUCGGGGUUAGUAGGUUGGUCAUGCCUCUGGUAUGUACUGAUCUCACUGAUUCCUUCCUCUUGACGAACUGUAAUGUCAUUAAUUUGGUGUUGCAGGAAAUCAGGACUGUUACUUUGAAAAAAUUAGAGUGUUUAAAGCAGGCUUAAGCUUGAAUACAUUAGCAUGGAAUAAUGAAAUAGGACGUUUGAACCUAUUUUGUUGGUUUCUAGGAUCGACGUAAUGAUUAAUAGGGAUAGUUGGGGGCAUUAGUAUUCAAUUGUCAGAGGUGAAAUUCUUGGAUUUAUUGAAGACUAACUACUGCGAAAGCAUUUGCCAAGGAUGUUUUCAUUAAUCAAGAACGAAAGUUAGGGGAUCGAAGACGAUCAGAUACCGUCGUAGUCUUAACCAUAAACUAUGCCGACUAGGGAUCGGAUGAUGUUAAUUUUUUAAUGACUCAUUCGGCGCCUUACGGGAAACCAAAGUGUUUGGGUUC